RNAcentral lists this ribosomal RNA (301 nucleotides) under uncultured bacterium. RNAcentral's name for it is "partial 16S ribosomal RNA". It matches the Rfam family "Bacterial small subunit ribosomal RNA", at positions 509 to 807 of the family's 1533-position model. The record is from RNAcentral.
CAGUCGCCGCGGUAACACGAAGGGUGCAAGCGUUAAUCGGAAUUACUGGGCGUAAAGCGCACGUAGGCGGCUUGGUAAGUUAGAGGUGAGAGCCUGGAGCUCAACUCCAGAAUUGCCUUUAAGACUGCCGAGCUAGCAGGUGAGAGAGGUAAGUGGAAUUCCGAGUGUAGAGGUGAAAUUCGUAGAUAUUCGGAAGAACACCAGUGGCGAAGGCGGCUUACUGGCUCAUACUGGACGCUGAGGUGCGAAAGCGUGGGGAGCAAACAGGAUUAGAUACCCCCGUAGUCCCUGUCUCUUAUAC